UACGAAGGGGGCUAGCGUUGUUCGGAUUCACUGGGCGUAAAGCGCACGUAGGUGGAUUGUUUAGUGAGGGGUGAAAUCCCAAGGCUCAACCUUGGAGCUGCCUUUCAUACUGGCAAUCUUGAGUUCGGAAGAGGUGAGUGGAAUUCCAAGUGUAGAGGUGAAAUUCGUAGAUAUUUGGAAGAACACCGGUGGCGAAGGCGACUCACUGGUCCGAUACUGACACUGAGGUGCGAAAGCGUGGGGAGCAAACAGG
RNAcentral lists this ribosomal RNA (253 nucleotides) under uncultured bacterium. Its description in RNAcentral is "partial 16S ribosomal RNA". It matches the Rfam family "Bacterial small subunit ribosomal RNA", at positions 524 to 776 of the family's 1533-position model. The record is from RNAcentral.